RNAcentral lists this ribosomal RNA (253 nucleotides) under uncultured bacterium. RNAcentral describes it as "partial 16S ribosomal RNA". It matches the Rfam family "Bacterial small subunit ribosomal RNA", at positions 524 to 776 of the family's 1533-position model. The record is from RNAcentral.
UACAGAGGUCUCAAGCGUUGUUCGGAUUCAUUGGGCGUAAAGGGUGCGUAGGCGGCGCGGUAAGUCGGGUGUGAAAUCUUGGAGCUUAACUCCGAAACUGCAUUCGAUACUGCCGUGCUUGAGGACUGGAGAGGAGACUGGAAUUUACGGUGUAGCGGUGAAAUGCGUAGAUAUCGUAAGGAAGACCAGUGGCGAAGGCAGCACUCUGGGCCGGUACUGACGCUGAGGAGCGAAAGCGUGGGGAGCAAACAGG